GUCAGUGUGGUGUAGUGGUUUGAGCAUUGGACUAUGACUCUGGAGACCAGGGUUCGAAUCCGGGUUUAGCCA
Molecule: non-coding RNA, 72 nt
Organism: Phrynosoma platyrhinos (Desert horned lizard)
Lineage: Eukaryota; Metazoa; Chordata; Lepidosauria; Squamata; Phrynosomatidae
Source: the annotation of a GenBank genome assembly